Molecule: non-coding RNA, 203 nt
Organism: Oryza barthii
Lineage: Eukaryota; Viridiplantae; Streptophyta; Magnoliopsida; Poales; Poaceae
Source: Rfam
AAUAAAUGCAGUUUUACACUAUUUAUAUCUAAUAUUUGACCGUUCAUCUUAUUUUAAAAUUUUUUUAUGAUUAGUAUUUUUAUUGUUAUUAGAUGAUAAAACAUGAAUAAUACUUUAUAAAUAACUUUUUAGUUUUUUUUUAAAUUUUUCAAAUAAGACGAACGGUAAAACGUUAGAUACGGAUACUCACGACUGUACUUAUU